UACGGGGGGGGCAAGCGUUGUUCGGAAUUACUGGGCGUAAAGGGCUAGUAGGCGGCCAACUAAGUCAGACGUGAAAUCCCUCGGCUUAACCGGGGAACUGCAUCUGAUACUGGAUGGCUUGAGAUUGGGAGAGGGAUGCGGAAUUCCAGGUGUAGCGGUGAAAUGCGUAGAUAUCUGGAGGAACACCGGUGGCGAAGGCGGCAUCCUGGACCAACACUGACGCUGAGGAGCGAAAGCCAGGGGAGCAAACGGG
Molecule: ribosomal RNA, 253 nt
Filed under: uncultured bacterium
Lineage: Bacteria
Description: partial 16S ribosomal RNA
Rfam family: Bacterial small subunit ribosomal RNA
Source: RNAcentral